AGCGAACGUUUGCGGCGGGCUUAACACAUGCAAGUCGAACGAGAAUCCCUUCGGGGAGGAAAGUGGCGCACGGGUGCGUAACACGUGGAUAACCAACCCAUUGGUUUGGGACAACACCGGGAAACUGGUGCUAAUACCAGAUGUGUCGCAGCUGUCUUCAGGCGGUUGCGAGAAAGGCCCGCAAGGGUCGCCAACGGACGGGUCCGCGUCCCAUCAGCUAGUUGGUGAGGUAAUGGCUCACCAAGGCAAAGACGGGUAGCUGGUCUGAGAGGAUGAUCAGCCACACUGGAACUGAGACACGGUCCAGACUCCUACGGGAGGCAGCAGUGGGGAAUAUUGCGCAAUGGGCGAAAGCCUGACGCAGCCACGCCGCGUGAGCGAUGAAGGUCUUCGGAUCGUAAAGCUCUGGUGGGGGGAGAAGAAGAAAGCCGGUGAAGAGCCGGCCCUGACGGUAUCCCUUAGCAAGCACCGGCUAACUCCGUGCCAGCAGCCGCGGUAAAG
RNAcentral lists this ribosomal RNA (501 nucleotides) under uncultured bacterium. RNAcentral's name for it is "bacterial SSU rRNA". It matches the Rfam family "Bacterial small subunit ribosomal RNA", at positions 29 to 525 of the family's 1533-position model. The record is from RNAcentral.